UACGGAGGGUGCAAGCGUUAUCCGGAUUCACUGGGUUUAAAGGGUGCGUAGGUGGGCAGUUAAGUCAGUGGUGAAAUCUCCGAGCUUAACUCGGAAACUGCCGUUGAUACUAUUUGUCUUGAAUAUUGUGGAGGUAAGCGGAAUAUGUCAUGUAGCGGUGAAAUGCUUAGAUAUGACAUAGAACACCAAUUGCGAAGGCAGCUUACUACACAACGAUUGACGCUGAGGCACGAAAGCGUGGGGAUCAAACAGG
RNAcentral lists this ribosomal RNA (253 nucleotides) under uncultured bacterium. RNAcentral's name for it is "partial 16S ribosomal RNA". It matches the Rfam family "Bacterial small subunit ribosomal RNA", at positions 524 to 776 of the family's 1533-position model. The record is from RNAcentral.